CAGUCGCCGCGGUAAUACGUAGGUCCCGAGCGUUGUCCGGAUUUAUUGGGCGUAAAGGGAGCGCAGGCGGUUUAGUAAGUCUGAAGUUAAAGGCAUUGGCUCAACCAAUGUAUGCUUUGGAAACUGUUAGACUUGAGUGCAGAAGGGGAGAGUGGAAUUCCAUGUGUAGCGGUGAAAUGCGUAGAUAUAUGGAGGAACAACGGUGGCGAAGGCGGCUCUCUGGUCUGUCACUGACGCUGAGGCUCGGAAGCGUGGGUAGCGAACAGGAUUAGAUACCCGAGUAGUCCCUGUCUCUUAUACA
Molecule: ribosomal RNA, 301 nt
Filed under: uncultured bacterium
Lineage: Bacteria
Description: partial 16S ribosomal RNA
Rfam family: Bacterial small subunit ribosomal RNA
Source: RNAcentral